Molecule: transfer RNA, 72 nt
Filed under: Ipomoea nil (Japanese morning glory)
Lineage: Eukaryota; Viridiplantae; Streptophyta; Magnoliopsida; Solanales; Convolvulaceae
Rfam family: tRNA
About the family: Transfer RNA (tRNA) molecules are approximately 80 nucleotides in length.
Source: Rfam by way of RNAcentral
GUCGUUGUAGUAUAGUGGUGAGUAUCCCUGCCUGUCACACGGGAGACCUGGGUUCGAUCCUCGGCAAUGGCG